GACGUGGCCCUGGCUCCACCCAGCCCUUCACGACCACAGCUGUGUGAGCCCUGGACCUGGCAGCAAUGGGAAGGGCCCAUCGGCCCCUCCAUGGGGGUCCUGGUUGGGAGUUGCAGGGGCAUGACUCUCUCUGCCUAAUCUCCAAGAAGUCAGCAUUUCUCCCCACGCACCCACACCACAGAAAAGUCCCUGCUGCUCCGUGGGUGGUCUGGGCAGCAUCCUUGCAUCAUUGAGGAGCUUGUUAGAAAUACAAACUCUCAGCCCCCCUCUGAGUUUCUGAAUCAGAGUCUGAUGUUAACAAAGUCCUCAAGGGAGUGGACUGUACUUGCAGGUUCAAGAAGAGGUUGUACAAGACAGUGGUUCUCAGGCCCCACAACGUUUCAGAGUCUCCUGGCGAGUCUACAAAGUGCAGAGGCCUGGCCUCCACCCCAGGUUUCGGUUCAAUUGCAAAGGGAGGGGUCUGGGCAUCAGCCUCUUAAACCAUUCCUAGUGGUUCUAAUACAGCCGAGGUUGAGACCCCCUCUCUGGGGUCAAUGAUUAAUAGAAU
Phyllostomus discolor (pale spear-nosed bat) is the source of this 547-nucleotide long non-coding RNA. RefSeq lists it as uncharacterized. The transcript is spliced from 2 exons. The record is from RefSeq and is a predicted model, not a curated record. Lineage: Eukaryota; Metazoa; Chordata; Mammalia; Chiroptera; Phyllostomidae.